AGCAGCCGCGGUAAUUCCAGCUCCAAUAGCGUAUAUUAAAGUUGUUGCAGUUAAAAAGCUCGUAGUUGAAUUUCGGGGUCAGUAGGUUGGUCAUGCCACUGGUAUGUACUGGUCUCACUGAUUCCUCCUUCCUGAUGAGCCGUAAUGCCAUUAAUUUGGUGUUGCGAGGAAUCUGGACUGUUACUUUGAAAAAAUUAGAGUGUUUAAAGCAGGCUAACGCUUGAAUACAUUAGCAUGGAAUAAUGAAAUAGGACGUUCGAUCUUAUUUUGUUGGUUUCUAAGAUUGACGUAAUGAUUAAUAGGGAUAGUUGGGGGCAUUAGUAUUCAAUUGUCAGAGGUGAAAUUCUUGGAUUUAUUGAAGACUAACUACUGCGAAAGCAUUUGCCAAGGAUGUUUUCAUUAAUCAAGAACGAAAGUUAGGGGAUCGAAGACGAUCAGAUACCGUCGUAGUCUUAACCAUAAACUAUGCCGACUAGGGAUCGGGAUGAUGUUAAUUUUUUAAUGUACCCAUUCGGCGUAC
This 520-nucleotide ribosomal RNA is filed under the name uncultured Glomus. RNAcentral describes it as "SSU rRNA". It matches the Rfam family "Eukaryotic small subunit ribosomal RNA", at positions 569 to 1076 of the family's 1831-position model. The record is from RNAcentral. Lineage: Eukaryota; Fungi; Glomeromycota; Glomeromycetes; Glomerales; Glomeraceae.